Octodon degus (degu) is the source of this 105-nucleotide small nuclear RNA. Lineage: Eukaryota; Metazoa; Chordata; Mammalia; Rodentia; Octodontidae. The record is from Ensembl.
GAAAUCAGAGCGCAAUUCUUUUCUGAAAUGGAAUGAUACAGAAAAGAUUAGCAUGGUCCCUGCACAAGGAUGACACACAAGCUCCUGGCAGGGAAGCCCAAGGUC